AUAAGAAGGAGUAGGUGAGAGAUAUCAGAAAGGAAAAGGAAAAGAAAGAGAAGGAAAGAAGGAAGAGAAAGAGGAAAAGAGAAGAAGGGAGAAAGGAAGAAGAAAAGAGAAAGAAGAAGGAAGCCAUGGAAACCUCCACCAUCAUCAUGUCAUCUUCUCCAUCAUCUUCUUCUCACCAUCUUCAUCAAUUAUGAGGUGAGUUCUUAGAUUGUUUUAGCAUUUGGGGGAAAUAACCUAUACUUGUGGGGUUAGGGUUUGUAUGAAAUUGUGAUGAACUUGUUGUGUUCAUACUCCCUAUCCAUGCUAUGUGUUGAUAUCAUGUUGUCGUUGUUGAAAUUGCGAUACUUGGGUGUUUAAUUUUGAUGUGUUUUGUUGUUGAAGUUAUGGAGGUUAAUCACUUGAAUUCAUAACAAUAUAAGUUAAUCAUGAAAUAUUCCAUGAAUCAUGAGUUAACCAUGUUUUCUAUGAUGUUGGUGUUGUUGUAAUUGAACAUGGUUGUUGAGGUUGUUAAGAACAUGUGUUUACGAGGUUGAGGAAUUCUUGAGUGUUGGUUGUUGUUGAAAAAUCAUGUUAUGUGAAAAUGGUAGGUAAAAAUGGUAGAUGGAAAGGAAAAUAAAAGAGGAGUUAUUUAAGGAAAAGAAGUGGAGUUAUUUAAGGAAAGAAGUUACUGAGAAUUAAUGGAAAUUGGAAUUUUUCCUUCCGGUUAACACUUUUGAGGUAACCGGUUAACAUGAAAAUCAAGAAGUUUCAAGAGUUUAUGAAGAAGGAAAUUUGAUAGCAAAUACAAGUUAGAAGAAUGAGUAUGUCAGAGACUUGAAAUCGAAGAGAGGUCAAGUGUUGGUCUAAGACGUUGAUACAAGGAUUGUUUGUUUGUUGAGUGAAGGAAAUUCGGGGGCGAAUUUCAAUUUAAGGGGGGGAGAAUGUAAUAUCCCAUAUUCCCUUAAAUGCUCAAUUAGUUGUCAGUUGAGAUCAAUUGAGUUUCUAUGUAAAUUAUCUAUUAUCAUUUGUAACAAUUGGAGCUCCUAUGUGCUCUAAAUGUUGUCAAUUGGGACCAAUAGAGUAACCAGUGAACUCUGAAGAGAUUAAUUAUUAAUAAAGAGACAGACCAAUAUUAAUAAGUACAAGAGAGGACAUUUUGGUAACAUUAAUAAUUGGUCAAUUGGUGCUGGAAGAUAAAAUAUCAAUUGAGAUAUUUUAUGAUACUACUUAAUAUUAUAUAUUAUAUAUAUUAUAUAGUAUAUGUAUUGUGUGGUGUAGAAAGAAAGAGAAAGGAAAAGAGAUAAGAAGGAGUAGGUGAGAGAUAUCAGAAAGGAAAAGGAAAAGAAAGAGAAGGAAAGAAGGAAGAGAAAGAGGAAAAGAGAAGAAGGGAGAAAGGAAGAAGAAAAGAGAAAGAAGAAGGAAGCCAUGGAAACCUCCACCAUCAUCAUGUCAUCUUCUCCAUCAUCUUCUUCUCACCAUCUUCAUCAAUUAUGAGGUGAGUUCUUAGAUAGUUUUAGCAUUUGGGGGAAAUAACCUAUACUUGUGGGGUUAGGGUUUGUAUGAAAUUGUGAUGAACUUGUUGUGUUCAUACUCCCUAUCCAUGCUAUGUGUUGAUAUCAUGUUGUUGUUGUUGAAAUUGCGAUACUUGGGUG
RNAcentral lists this long non-coding RNA (1631 nucleotides) under Lathyrus oleraceus (garden pea). RNAcentral's name for it is "Pisum sativum (pea) long non-coding RNA (PSAT_LNC041403)". The record is from RNAcentral. Lineage: Eukaryota; Viridiplantae; Streptophyta; Magnoliopsida; Fabales; Fabaceae.